UACGUAGGUGGCAAGCGUUGUCCGGAGUUAUUGGGCGUAAAGCGCGCGCAGGCGGUGCGGUAAGUCUCUGGUGAAAGCGCUCGGCUUAACUGGGCGAGGGCCGGGGAGACUGCCACGCUGGAGGGGAGCAGAGGCGAGUGGAAUUCCGGGUGUAGUGGUGGAAAUGCGUAGAGAUCCGGAGGAACACCAGUGGCGAAGGCGGCUCGGCUGGGCUCUACCUGACGCUGAGGCGCGAAAGCGUGGGGAGCGAACCGG
This 255-nucleotide ribosomal RNA is filed under the name uncultured bacterium. RNAcentral describes it as "partial 16S ribosomal RNA". It matches the Rfam family "Bacterial small subunit ribosomal RNA", at positions 524 to 776 of the family's 1533-position model. The record is from RNAcentral.